Molecule: transfer RNA, 78 nt
Filed under: Brevundimonas phage vB_BpoS-Bambus
Lineage: Duplodnaviria; Heunggongvirae; Uroviricota; Caudoviricetes
Also listed under: 4 other names
Description: tRNA-Met
Rfam family: tRNA
About the family: Transfer RNA (tRNA) molecules are approximately 80 nucleotides in length. Their secondary structure includes four short double-helical elements and three loops (D, anti-codon, and T loops).
Source: RNAcentral
CGCGGGGUAGUGUAGCCCGGUCAACAUUCUUGGCUCAUAACCAAGAGAUCGCACGUUCGAAUCGUGUCCCCGCUCCCA